Long non-coding RNA from Mauremys mutica (yellowpond turtle), 226 nucleotides. RefSeq lists it as uncharacterized. The transcript is spliced from 3 exons. The record is from RefSeq and is a predicted model, not a curated record. Lineage: Eukaryota; Metazoa; Chordata; Testudines; Geoemydidae.
CCACAGUGCCCCCUUGCACAGCGGUGGGAAGAGGGUUACACGGUUAGCCGGCACCAGCAAAUAUUCCAGAAGUUAAAUAGGGUGUGGAAAAAGUUGGUAAUGCAGUCAUUGCGAAAGGGAUACUGGAGAGCAAUGUGGUCCAUGCUGCCCCCACCCUUCAAGCACCAAACAUCUAAGACCCAAGGCUGUUCCUGAACCAGGAUUCUCUACACGAUAGCAAUUCUGC